AGUGGUUUUUGGUGACACACCCCAGAACUGAGCUCUCUCCUCUCUGGUUCUGGGUGCAUCACCCGAGAACCACA
Molecule: non-coding RNA, 74 nt
Organism: Myotis brandtii (Brandt's bat)
Lineage: Eukaryota; Metazoa; Chordata; Mammalia; Chiroptera; Vespertilionidae
Source: Rfam